RNAcentral lists this ribosomal RNA (433 nucleotides) under uncultured bacterium. Its description in RNAcentral is "bacterial SSU rRNA". It matches the Rfam family "Bacterial small subunit ribosomal RNA", at positions 29 to 461 of the family's 1533-position model. The record is from RNAcentral.
AUGAACGCUGGCGGCGUGCUUAACACAUGCAAGUCGAACGGGAUCCAUCAAGCUUGCUUGGUGGUGAGAGUGGCGAACGGGUGAGUAAUGCGUGACCGACCUGCCCCAUACACCGGGAUAGCUCCUGGAAACGGGUGGUAAUGCCGGAUGCUCCAGUUGAUCGCAUGGUCUUCUGGGAAAGCUUUCGCGGUAUGGGAUGGGGUCGCGUCCUAUCAGCUUGACGGCGGGGUAACGGCCCACCGUGGCUUCGACGGGUAGCCGGCCUGAGAGGGCGACCGGCCACAUUGGGACUGAGAUACGGCCCAGACUCCUACGGGAGGCAGCAGUGGGGAAUAUUGCACAAUGGGCGCAAGCCUGAUGCAGUGACGCCGCGUGAGGGAUGGAGGCCUUCGGGUUGUAAACCUCUUUUAUCGGGGAGCAAGCGAGAGUGAGU